RNAcentral lists this ribosomal RNA (253 nucleotides) under uncultured bacterium. Its description in RNAcentral is "partial 16S ribosomal RNA". It matches the Rfam family "Bacterial small subunit ribosomal RNA", at positions 524 to 776 of the family's 1533-position model. The record is from RNAcentral.
UACGUAGGGGGCAAGCGUUGUCCGGAUUUAUUGGGCGUAAAGAGCGUGUAGGCGGCUUUGCAAGUCCGUUGUGAAAACUCGAGGCUCAACCUCGAGACGCCGGUGGAAACUGCAAAGCUAGAGUCCGGAAGAGGAGAGUGGAAUUCCUGGUGUAGCGGUGAAAUGCGUAGAUAUCUGGAGGAACACCUAUUGCGAAGGCAGCUCGCUGGGACGCAACUGACGCUGAGACGCGAAAGCGUGGGGAGCAAACAGG